Molecule: ribosomal RNA, 253 nt
Filed under: uncultured bacterium
Lineage: Bacteria
Description: partial 16S ribosomal RNA
Rfam family: Bacterial small subunit ribosomal RNA
Source: RNAcentral
UACGUAGGGUGCAAGCGUUGUCCGGAAUUAUUGGGCGUAAAGAGCUCGUAGGCGGUCUGUCGCGUCUGCUGUGAAAACUCGGGGCUUAACCCCGGGCCUGCAGUGGGUACGGGCAGACUAGAGUUCGGUAGGGGAGUCUGGAAUUCCUGGUGUAGCGGUGAAAUGCGCAGAUAUCAGGAGGAACACCGGUGGCGAAGGCGGGACUCUGGGCCGAUACUGACGCUGAGGAGCGAAAGCGUGGGGAGCAAACAGG